GCCUGCUCGCAUCGCCUCACGGCCACAGAGAACGGCUCGGGUUUUCCCCGGGUCGCUGGGCUUCUUACCAGGCCUGCAGUCUCCAGCUGCAGCCUGACUCCUCUACAAGUAACCUUUUUCUUAUGGAGUGUUACCGCACAGUCAGUGGCUUCAUGGAGGGCAAAGCAUUGGAGUCAUACUGACAGCCUAGUGCUUCAGCAAAAAGACUAUUGACCAUCUACCUGCUGGAGCCACCUGGUAACUCCAUAAAGUCUGCAAACAAGUUAGAUGUACAUUUUUUUCUGAGGCUCCUUCUCUCCAAUCAAGGAGAAAUGGAAGGCACAUUUCCCCCAGGACCAGAUUCAAGAAAAGAUAAGUGAUACUGUUUUUUCACCCUUGCUGUGAGACAGCAAAAAUGGCUAGUCAUGGAGUAAAGGGAGAGUGGUGGUUUAGAUUUAGUUGUUAAUGAAUCUGGU
Oenanthe melanoleuca is the source of this 455-nucleotide long non-coding RNA. RefSeq lists it as uncharacterized. The record is from RefSeq and is a predicted model, not a curated record. Lineage: Eukaryota; Metazoa; Chordata; Aves; Passeriformes; Muscicapidae. The transcript is spliced from 3 exons.